CCUACGGGUGGCAGCAGUGGGGAAUAUUGCACAAUGGGCGCAAGCCUGAUGCAGCGACGCCGCGUGAGGGAUGACGGCCUUCGGGUUGUAAACCUCUUUCAGUAGGGACGAAGCGAAAGUGACGGUACCUGCAGAAGAAGCACCGGCCAACUACGUGCCAGCAGCCGCGGUAAUACGUAGGGUGCGAGCGUUGUCCGGAAUUACUGGGCGUAAAGAGCUUGUAGGCGGUUUGUCGCGUCGUCCGUGAAAACCAGUGGCUUAACCAUUGGCUUGCGGGCGAUACGGGCAGACUUGAGUAUUUCAGGGGAGACUGGAAUUCCUGGUGUAGCGGUGAAAUGCGCAGAUAUCAGGAGGAACACCGGUGGCGAAGGCGGGUCUCUGGGAAAUAACUGACGCUGAGAAGCGAAAGCGUGGGUAGCGAACAGGAUUAGAUACCCUGG
Molecule: ribosomal RNA, 440 nt
Filed under: uncultured bacterium
Lineage: Bacteria
Description: bacterial SSU rRNA
Rfam family: Bacterial small subunit ribosomal RNA
Source: RNAcentral